Molecule: non-coding RNA, 108 nt
Organism: Caenorhabditis elegans
Lineage: Eukaryota; Metazoa; Nematoda; Chromadorea; Rhabditida; Rhabditidae
Source: Ensembl
CAUUGAUGUGCGACAACGACCUUGUUUCUGUUCUGGACUGAUGAAUUUUCGCGCAUUAUAACGUGGUAAUCCACGAAUAUCCAAUUAUUAUUGAUUUUGAAUUGGUUU